This 587-nucleotide unclassified non-coding RNA is filed under the name Hevea brasiliensis (rubber tree). The record is from RNAcentral. Lineage: Eukaryota; Viridiplantae; Streptophyta; Magnoliopsida; Malpighiales; Euphorbiaceae.
AGGUUCAGAAGAUAUAAAGGUUCUUACCAUAUGCAAUUUAACAUUGUGACUUUUGGGUGUCAUUUCUUUAAGCAUAUUAGAAAAUGGCAGUUUCUGUGUCACUGCUGCUGCCCCGUGAAUUGGGUAUUCACGGAAAAUGUGGACUAAGCGGUCAGUCUAAGGGCAAGAUGAGCAGGAGUCAGACAGAUUCUUGCAGCAUAUUUCUGUCGUCACAUUCUAUGCGGCAGGAUCCUUGGAGCAUCUACCUUCUGAAUACUGUACACAGGCCUUUGUUUUCCCAUCCUUCACCAACUAGAUGUAAUGUAUUACUAUGCCGCUCCUUGCUAAAGCCAGGUGGAGGAUAUGAGAGUCAAGUUCUGGAAACAGCAACACUGAUUUGGAAAAGGUCAUUAAGUACUAUACAUGGAAGCCCACUUGUGCUUCAGCUGAUUCCGGCCAUUGGUGUUCUUGUUUUUGCUGCAUGGGGUCUCACUCCACUGAUGCGCUUUGGAAGAAAGCUUUUCCUUCAUGAAAGUGAUAGCAAUUGGAAACAGAGUAGCUGGCAUUAUGUUACAGCUUCCUAUCUUAAACCUGUGCUUUUAUGGACU